RNAcentral lists this ribosomal RNA (211 nucleotides) under uncultured bacterium. RNAcentral describes it as "partial 16S ribosomal RNA". It matches the Rfam family "Bacterial small subunit ribosomal RNA", at positions 524 to 734 of the family's 1533-position model. The record is from RNAcentral.
UACGUAGGUGGCGAGCGUUAUCCGGAAUGAUUGGGCGUAAAGGGUGCGUAGGCGGCCUGCUAAGUCUGGAGUGAAAGGUACCGGCUCAACCGGUACAGGCUCUGGAAACUGGCGGGCUAGAGAGCAGGAGAGGGCGGUGGAACUCCAUGUGUAGCGGUAAAAAUGCGUAGAUAUAUGGAAGAACACCAGUGGCGAAGGCGGCCGCCCUGGC